ACUGCAGAAACUGACGAGCAGGGCAGUGGUUACCUCCUCUGACUCAUCCUUUCUCAGCAGACCUCCUGACUCAGUAGGUACCAAGACACUGGACACUUUCCACUGGUUAUUACAAUAUUUUGAAUAUAGAUCCCUGCAUUGUACAGUAGGAUCAGCAGACCCAGGCCAGCAAAGGCUAGCUGGAGCGGCCCCCAAAUUCUGACCAAGGCGCCAGCAGGAACAAAAGGUCUCCAUCCCGAAGCUCGUGCCAUGGCUGGACCAGAGCAGAUGUUCCACAUGUGGUUCUCUGAGUGAGUCCUCGUUCCACCACUUCUUAGCUGGGAGACCUUGAGUAAGAAUGUGGGCACCCUGGCUGGAGCUCCUGAAGCCAUCUUGUGACCUUGAGGAUAGAAGUCAUGGGCCAAGGAUGGGCCAAGCUGAGUGAGAAGUCACCUCCAUACCAGUCCUGAAUUGCCUGCUUUGAAACUUCUUCAUAAAAGAAAUGUGAGACUUCAUUUAAUUUAAGCCACUUUAGUUUUCUCUUUUAGACAGCUAAAUCAAAAUCCGAUACAACAACCACGCAGUUUCAUGCCUCUGAGUUUUUGCAUAGCUGUUCUCUCUUCUAGGAACUUUUCCUUCCAGUCCUCUACCUGGUGAACUUGUAAUCGUGUUUGAAGCUUCCACUGCAGCAUCCCACUCUGUGUGGAAUCCCUUCUAACUGACCCCUCAGGUAGGCAUAAUAUAUGUUUAAUAAAUAUUCAAAUAAUUAAGUAAUAAUUGUUGAAGGAAAACUUCUAAGAAUGAAUGAAAAAUGAAUCAUGUACAUAAAAAUGACAAGGAGGGAGUGCUCUUUGUGGCUUAGCAGUUAUUGAAACUGACAAGGGUCUAUGAGGAUGCAGGUUCGAUCCCUGGACUCGCUCAGUGGGUUAAGGACCUGGUGUUGCCGUGAGCUGUGGUGUAGGUCACAGAUGGGACUCAGAUCACACGUUGCAGUGGCUGUGGCAUAGG
RNAcentral lists this long non-coding RNA (987 nucleotides) under Sus scrofa (pig). RNAcentral's name for it is "lncRNA (ENSSSCG00060064254.1)". Lineage: Eukaryota; Metazoa; Chordata; Mammalia; Artiodactyla; Suidae. The record is from RNAcentral.